UGAACGGAGAGUUUGAUCCCGCUCAGGAUGAACGCUGGCGGCGUGUUUAACACAUGCAAGUCGAACGAUGAUCCGGUGCUUGCGCCGGGGAUUAGUGGCGAACGGGUGAGUAACACGUGAGUAACCUGCCCUUGACUCUGGGAUAAGCCCGGGAAACUGGGUCUAAUACCGGAUAUGACUCCUCAUCGCAUGGUGGGGGUGGAAAGCUUUUGUGGUUUUGGAUGGACUCGCGGCCUAUCAGCUUGUUGGUGGGGUAAUGGCCUACCAAGGCGACGACGGGUAGCCGGCCUGAGAGGGUGACCGGCCACACUGGGACUGAGACACGGCCCAGACUCCUACGGGAGGCAGCAGUGGGGAAUAUUGCACAAUGGGCGAAAGCCUGAUGCAGCGACGCCGCGUGAGGGAUGACGGCCUUCGGGUUGUAAACCUCUUCAGUAGGGAAGAAGCCCCUUUGGGGUGACGGUACUUGCAGAAGAAGCGCCGGCUAACUACGUGCCAGCAGCCGCGGUAAUACGUAGGGCGCAAGCGUUAUCCGGAAUUAUUGGGCGUAAAGAGCUCGUAGGCGGUUUGUCGCGUCUGCUGUGAAAGACCGGGGCUCAACCCGGUUCUGCAGUGGGUACGGGCAGACUAGAGUGCAGUAGGGGAGACUGGAAUUCUCGUGUAGCGGUGAAAUGCGCAGAUAUCAGGAGGAACACCGAUGGCGAAGGCAGGUCUCUGGCUGUAACUGACGCUGAGGAGCGAAAGCAUGGGGAGCGAACAGGAUUAGAUACCCGGUAGUCCAUGCCGUAAACGUUGGGCACUAGGUGUGGGGACAUUCCACGUUUUCCGCGCCGUAGCUAACGCAUUAAGUGCCCCGCCCGGGGAGUACGGCCGCAAGGCUAAAACUCAAAGGAAUUGACGGGGCCCGCACAAGCGGCGGAGCAUGCGGAUUAAUUCGAUGCAACGCGAAGAACCUUACCAAGGCUUGACAUGGACCGGAAAGACCCGGAAACAGGUGCCCCGCUUGCGGCCGGUUUACAGGUGGUGCAUGGUUGUCGUCAGCUCGUGUCGUGAGAUGUUGGUUAAGUCCCGCAACGAGCGCAACCCUCGUUCUAUGUUGCCAGCGGUUCGGCCGGGGACUCAUAGGAGACUGCCGGGUCAACUCGGAGGAAGGUGGGGACGACGUCAAAUCAUCAUGCCCCUUAUGUCUUGGGCUUCACGCAUGCAAAUGGCCGGUACAAAGGGUUGCGAUACUGUGAGGUGGAGCUAAUCCCAAAAGCCGGUCUCAGUUCGGAUUGGUCUGCAACUCGACCCCAUGAAGUCGGAGUCGCUAGUAAUCGCAGAUCAGCAACGCUGCGGUGAAUACGUUCCCGCCUUGUACACACCGCCCGUCAAGUCACGAAAGUUGGUAACACCCGAAGCCGGUGGCCUAACCCUGUGGGGAGCCGUCGAAGGUGGGACCGGCGAUUGGGACUAAGUCGUAACAAGGUAGCCGUACCGGAAGGUGCGGCUGAUCACCUCCUUU
RNAcentral lists this ribosomal RNA (1504 nucleotides) under Arthrobacter sp. TES. RNAcentral describes it as "bacterial SSU rRNA". It matches the Rfam family "Bacterial small subunit ribosomal RNA". The record is from RNAcentral. Lineage: Bacteria; Bacillati; Actinomycetota; Actinomycetes; Micrococcales; Micrococcaceae.